RNAcentral lists this ribosomal RNA (497 nucleotides) under uncultured bacterium. Its description in RNAcentral is "partial 16S ribosomal RNA". It matches the Rfam family "Bacterial small subunit ribosomal RNA", at positions 28 to 507 of the family's 1533-position model. The record is from RNAcentral.
GACGAACGCUGGCGGCGUGCCUAAUACAUGCAAGUUGAGCGCUGAAGGUUGGUACUUGUACCAACUGGAUGAGCAGCGAACGGGUGAGUAACGCGUGGGGAAUCUGCCUUUGAGCGGGGGACAACAUUUGGAAACGAAUGCUAAUACCGCAUAAAAACUUUAAACACAAGUUUUAAGUUUGAAAGAUGCAAUUGCAUCACUCAAAGAUGAUCCCGCGUUGUAUUAGCUAGUUGGUGAGGUAAAGGCUCACCAAGGCGAUGAUACAUAGCCGACCUGAGAGGGUGAUCGGCCACAUUGGGACUGAGACACGACCCAAACUCCUACGGGAGGCAGCAGUAGGGAAUCUUCGGCAAUGGACGAAAGUCUGACCGAGCAACGCCGCGUGAGUGAAGAAGGUUUUCGGAUCGUAAAACUCUGUUGGUAGAGAAGAACGUUGGUGAGAGUGGAAAGCUCAUCAAGUGACGGUAACUACCCAGAAAGGGACGGCUAACUACGUG